ACGAACGCUGGCGGCGUGCUUAACCCAUGCCAGUCGCACGGAAAGGCCCUGCUUUUGUGGGGUGCUCGAGUGGCGAACGGGUGAGUAACACGUGAGUAACCUGCCCUUGACUUUGGGAUAACUUCAGGAAACUGGGGCUAAUACCGGAUAGGAGCUCCUGCUGCAUGGUGGGGGUUGGAAAGUUUCGGCGGUUGGGGAUGGACUCGCGGCUUAUCAGCUUGUUGGUGGGGUAGUGGCUUACCAAGGCUUUGACGGGUAGCCGGCCUGAGAGGGUGACCGGCCACAUUGGGACUGAGAUACGGCCCAGACUCCUACGGGAGGCAGCAGUGGGGAAUAUUGCACAAUGGGCGGAAGCCUGAUGCAGCAACGCCGCGUGCGGGAUGACGGCCUUCGGGUUGUAAACCGCUUUCGCCUGUGACGAAGCGUGAGUGACGGUAAUGGGUAAAGAAGCACCGGCUAGCUACGUG
Molecule: ribosomal RNA, 467 nt
Filed under: uncultured bacterium
Lineage: Bacteria
Description: partial 16S ribosomal RNA
Rfam family: Bacterial small subunit ribosomal RNA
Source: RNAcentral